This 465-nucleotide ribosomal RNA is filed under the name uncultured bacterium. Its description in RNAcentral is "partial 16S ribosomal RNA". It matches the Rfam family "Bacterial small subunit ribosomal RNA", at positions 28 to 507 of the family's 1533-position model. The record is from RNAcentral.
GACGAACGCUGGCGGCGUGCUUAACACAUGCAAGUCGAACGGAAAGGCCCCAGCUUGCUGGGUUACUCGAGUGGCGAACGGGUGAGUAACACGUGGGUGAUCUGCCCUGCACUCUGGGAUAAGCCUGGGAAACUGGGUCUAAUACCGGAUAGGACCGUGCUUUAGUGUGUGCGGUGGAAAGUUUUUCGGUGCAGGAUGAGCCCGCGGCCUAUCAGCUUGUUGGUGGGGUAAUGGCCUACCAAGGCGGCGACGGGUAGCCGGCCUGAGAGGGUGUACGGCCACAUUGGGACUGAGACACGGCCCAGACUCCUACGGGAGGCAGCAGUGGGGAAUAUUGCACAAUGGGCGCAAGCCUGAUGCAGCGACGCCGCGUGGGGGAUGACGGCCUUCGGGUUGUAAACCCCUUUCGGCAGGGACGAAGCUUUUGUGACGGUACCUGCAUAAGAAGCACCGGCUAACUACGUG